Long non-coding RNA from Coturnix japonica (Japanese quail), 1594 nucleotides. NCBI's taxonomy places the organism in Eukaryota, Metazoa, Chordata, Aves, Galliformes, Phasianidae. The record is from Ensembl.
GCACAAAACCAUACAGGUCCCACAACAUCAUACAGGCCCCAAAACCCCAUACAGGCUGCAUAGACCCCAUAAGGGCCCCACAACCACAUAUUGGCCCAACAAACCCAUAUGGAACCCAUAGACCCCAUACAGGACCCAAAACCCCAUACAGGCCCCAUAGCCCCAUAAAGGCUCCACAACCCUAUAUGGGCCCCAGUGACCACAUAAAGGCCCGAAAAACCCAUAUGGGCCUUUUUGACCCCAUAUAGGCUCCACAACUCCACAUAGACCUCAUACCAGCCCCAAAACCCCAUAUGGGCCCCAUAGGCAUCAUAUAGGCCCCAUAGAUCCCAUAUGGGCCCUAAAGACACCAUACAGGCCCCACAACACCAUACAGGCUCCAUAGACCCCAUACAGUCCACACAACACCAUGCAGGCCCCAUCAACCCCAUACAGGCCCAAAACGAAUAUGGGCCCCAUAGACCCCAUACAGGCCUCACAACCCCAUAUAGGACCCACAACCCCAUAUGGGCCCCAUAGACCCCAUACAGGCUCCACAACAACAUAUGGGCCCCAAAACCACAUAUGAGCCCCAUAGACCCCAUAAAGGCCACACAACCCCACAUAGGCCCCACAGAAUCCCAUACAGGCCCCAAAACCCAUAUAGGCCCAACAACCCCAUAUGGGCCCCAUAGACCCCAUACAGGCGCCAAAACCACAUAUAGGCCCCACAAACACAUACAGGCCCCACAACCCCAUAAAGGCCUCGCAACCUUAUACAGGCCCCACAACCACAUAUGAGAGCCACAACACCAUAUAGGCCCCACAACCCCAUAUGGGCCCCAUAGACCCCAUACUAGUCCCCACAAUCCUAUAUGGGCACCAUAGACCCGAUAUAGGCCCCACAAACCCAUACACGCCCCAUAGAUCAAAUAUGGGCUCCAAAGACCCCAUACAAGCCCCACAACCUCAUACAGGCUUCAUAGACCCCAUACAGUCCACAAAAUCCCAUGCAGGCCCCAUAGACCCCAUAGAGGCCCCACAAAGCAUAGGGGCCCCAUAGACACCAUACAGGCCUCACAACCCCAUAUAAAGCCCCACAACCCCAUAUGGCCCCAUAGGCCCCGCAUACCAGUACCCACAGAUCCCAAUGGGAGGGGGUGGCCCCAGUAGAAUCCAUACAAGACCCACAAUCCCACAUAGGCCCCAUAGACCCCAUAUAGGCCCCACAUCCCCAUGGAGGCCCCACAACUCCAUAUAGUCCCCAUAGACCCCAUACAGGCCCCAGAACCCCAUAUGGGCCCUCCUCCUCCUCCGUUACAAGUAGAUGAAGCAGCGCAUUGACUCAUGUUAGACCCACAGCUUUUGGAUGUGCUCUGUGCCCUGCUGCAGUUACUGCCACCACGGAGGACUAAAGGAACAACCACAGGCUGCUUUUAAAGCACAUUAGCUUCAUUUUAAUUACAUUCACCCUCUCCCAGAACAUUCUUAGAGUGCAGCUGGUUUUGAUUAAUACACCCUGAACUGCUGGAAGAAGAAACAGGAAAGCAGGACUCAACAAGCCAUCACUCACUGGCAUGCUGCACUCAGUCUACGGGUCUUACAUUUACUUAAA